UGCGAGCUGUAUGAAGUUGCAUCUUCUACUCAAGUUGCCCGUGAAAUCUGUGCCUGAACCAAGGAGAGUAUUCGAGGGAGGAAGGACAGCUUUCUGUUUCAAAUGCUGUAAUAGAAAUGCAUUGAACUGGCUUCAGGAGCUGGCUCCGUGAAAGAUUCCCUGUGUGAGUUUGGCUGAAUCAUGGAGCUUGUGCCUCACCUGCCUGCAGAAGGGUAAAGGAAGCUCAGCAAGUGGGAGAUGACAAAGCCAAACCUUUGCCUGCAUUAGGGGAGCAGCAGAACUCCAAUAAUGACAUAAAUGAGUCAGUGUUCAUCUGGGGAAUCGCAGACAAAGCAGCCUCGAGGAAAAGCAUCUCUGUUUGAAGCAUUAGCAGACUGAGACCUGAAAACCUCAUGUAGGAAAAACGGCAUGCAGAAGAGGAACAGAACUUGCAUUUCCCUAAAUACUCACUGAAUGUGAAAUGUAGGCAUAUUCUUCCUUGUCUGCUCUCUAAAUGUGCAGGUUCUGAAGAAUGGCAUUUAAAAUCUUUCAUAGGGACAGAAAAUUCCCCGUUAUUUUGCCUUACAAGUGGCUACAGAUGUAUUGAUCACAUAGCCAGGUGUUCAUUAAUGGAAUAAAUAUUUAUAAGAGUUUGAAUGGCCAUUGAUCCAUGCAAUCAAAAGGUAUCUGCAGUCUUCAGGGAUGGCUGUCACUGACUGAUUGUUUCUGUUAGUAGGAUUCAUUAUAUUUUCACUGUUUCAGCAAUGAACAGUUCUAUGGAAAUAUGAUUUAAUUCGGGAAUGAGUGCAGCUAAACUACCCUAGUUCUGAACCUAGCAGCAUGGCCCAGCUGAGAGAAGUAAAGCUUGCCCUGUGCAUUUAUACACAAUUCAAAUGAAUGCCUUGGAACGUAUGUGAUGUCCUUGACUGUAAUUUCUUCUACGCUUCAAGCAAAAAGUGGUAUUGAUUCUUCUUUUUAAAAAGAGGACCUGGAAAUAUUGCCUUCAGAUCUGAUCAGGACUGUGGAAAACAAGAAAGUAAAUAAUGACCCUAGAGAAUGCAACCCUGGCAUUACAUGGAGUGUGCUGGAUGCAGGGGGUGAGGGUGGCUCACAAAUGAAUGUAAUGCCUAAGCCCUCAAGGAGAACUGGGCACCUGUUACCUCUAAGAACUUAGUCUUCAUGUUUUAGACCCUUCUGGGAAUUUUUAGCUAUGGUGGUUAAAAUGCAAGCGACUCCUGGAGAGCAAGCGCUGCGCUCACGUUCCUUAGUAGCGGAAGCGGCAACAGGAAAGGUUAAUGGGAAGAGUUUUCCCAGGCCACACCCACCCUAGGCUUGUAUAAGGACUGUUUUGACAAUCCGAUUUUUUUCAGCCCCAACCUGCCCUAUAUGGCAAGAGGAAAAGUUAGAUCAAUGCUUUGGACUAAUUAAAAUUGUGACAAUGGAUAGUAAAUAUCUGCUUUUCUCAAAUCAGGGUGUUUCUGAUGGCAAGACAGCUUGCCGUGUUCCCAGUGGAGGAGGGGAGAGGGGAAAUAUAUCUGUCUGCUCCUGCGAUCCCCAAGUUUUCAGUGUAUUGUCCAGGCUUGUACUUAUGUGGCUCCCACUGAUGUCAGUGCAGCAAAAACCCCACAGUACGUUCUGAAAAUGUCCCUGCAACAAUGAAGCUGUGCAUCUGAUCCUGCUGCAGAUCAUUUCUAAGAAAAUUCUGCAAAGACUUGUUGACUUGAGUUAAUCAUAAGUUUAGCAAUAAUGUUCAUUAUCUGGCAGCAUUCAUUACCUGUGUUGUAAUGGGGAGGGAAGUGGAGACUUACUAAUUGCAUUUAGUAGGAUGAGGAAUAAUUAACAUGGAACCAGCUGGAUGGGGUUUGCUUUGUAGUCAUGAAAAACGAACACAUUGAUAACCGCUGUGGAAUGGGAGUGAAUAGCCAUGCAUAAAAUGAUGCAUAUCUUCCCCUCCCUCCCCAUCCUUUUCUUCAGUAGUUUGCUUAUUUCUCUUGUUUUGCCUUAUGAAGAAAUGUCUAUAAGAUGGCUUUGUUUGUGCACUAGAAGUCCUGGAAAUUUUCUGGAGAGCAAGCACUGCUCUCCUCUUCAGUAGGUGAGACCAACCCUAACCGUAAUUUUCUGUGAUUCUAUUAAAUGGAUCAAUGUAUUGUCUGUGUUUCA
Long non-coding RNA from Alligator mississippiensis (American alligator), 2139 nucleotides. RefSeq lists it as uncharacterized. NCBI's taxonomy places the organism in Eukaryota, Metazoa, Chordata, Crocodylia, Alligatoridae. The transcript has 4 exons. The record is from RefSeq and is a predicted model, not a curated record.